AUGGUUCCCAGCACAGUUCAGAUGGUUCGGAGCACAGCUGUGAAGCACACCCCUUCCCCUCUUGCCUGGGGCCCGACUUUCUCGCUAGUGGCAGCUUCUCCCCCAGAACAGCGGUCCCUGGACAUCAGGGGCUCACACCCGGGGAAAGAAAUGAUUUCACUGCCCCUUUGGGCCACCACCCCCUCCUUGUAUAAGCACAGCCCCCCUGUGUGCACAUCAUGUGGGGACACCUCGGAAGCCUUUCCCAAGCUGCCUGGCCUGUGGCAGGGAGGGCCACGGGCAGUGCUGUGGACACUGCAAGCUGCCAGGGGACGGGCCAGCCCUCUGUCCUGGGGCUCAGUCCCACACGUGCUGACCCAACUUACCUUCCCCUUCCCCAGAAGGGGGCUUCCCUUGGAGUAUAGACUCAGAGGAGCAGAACCUGACCAGGGAUCAGAAGUCUGCAGAGCAAUAGAUGGAAGGAUGGAUGGAUGGAUGGGUGGAUGGAUGGAUAGAUGGAGGGAGGGAAGGAUGGAUGGAGGGAGGGAAGGAUGGAUGAAUGAAUGGGAGGGAGGAAGGAAUUCUGGCUGGGACAGCAAAUCUCCAUCUCUGAGAGCUGUGGUGGGCAGGGCAGGGCGGGCCACAGUGCUUGGCCUGGCUCCCUUCACAGAGGGUCCUGACUCACUCUGUGCCUCUGACUGCUCUCAGCCUGGGAGAGUCAGACUAGGCCCAGGGCGCCGUCCUUCACCCCUUAGUCUCUUGGUUCCUCCCCCUCCUUGGAGUCCACCCAGCACCUCCCUUACCCGUCCCCCCACCCCGUGCUCCCAUUUGCAGCCCUCUCAGCCACAGCCAUCCUUCCCGCGUGUGUGAGGGGAGAGGGAGACCCACAUCUCCCCAAAAAUGUGAGCUUUGGGGGCACCACAUCCCCCCUUAGGCCUCCUCACCUGACACCACCUGCUCCCUGGCCCCGUGCCUGAUCCCAAGCAGAAAUAGCAGCAGGAAGCACAGGGCGCCGGGAGAGACACUGGACUAAAUAUACUCUUCUGUGUAUUCUUUCUAUUGUAUAUUCAAUCUGUACAUGUGGGUGUAAAUGCUGGUAAAUGACAAACCCAAUAUUAUACUGUGGCUGGUGGACUAUUUUCAUCCUCAGUGCUGUACAGAUCUAUUUUCAUUGUAUAUUUGAGAUAUUUUUAAUUUUGUAGCGUGUCGCUGGCCCAGGCCCCAGCCUGCCAGCCUGAGACAGGGUGACUGAGCCGGGCAUCUUCUCUGUCCUCACGGGCUGGGUAGUGCUUGUAGCCACUGCUGUGAGCGGGGCCCUGUCCUGCUGUGUCUGCUGUUAGCUGUAGGGCCUGGAGCUUGGCAUGCGUGUGUGCGUGCGUGUGUGUGUGUGUGUGCACAUACGUGGGCGUGGGUGUGUGUAGGCUGCUAAUUUGUGUUUCCCAGCGUUCACCACAACCCUGAAGACCACGCCGCCGCCGCCUCCUGCCCCUCCUCUCAGCUCCAUCAGGCGAGGUCGCAGGGCAGGGUCCCGUGGGAAGUGCCCUCUGUGGGAAAGGCACACGCUUCUGACGGGUGACACAUUGCCUUCACACCAGCGGGCUUGCCCGAAACGGGGAAGGGGGGUCUUGGGGGCAUGGGGGAGGUCCUUAAAUUUCUUUUCCAGCCAGCCUCUUGCUGUGCCCAUUGGAGGCACAAGCUCUUCCCUCCCAGGGUAAGCUCUGGGUUUCUCAAGAGGACGAGACCCCAAGAGGGCAUUGGCUCACAGGGCCCCUGUCCUGUGUGUGUCCUUGACACAUCACUGGCAGUGUUCAGAGGGAACAGCUGACCCUCCCCUGUGCCUCUGACACACGCCACCUGGGAGUGGGGCAGGGCCGAGAGCAGGUGGGGCAUCUGACCAGGUCAGACCAGACCCAGAGCCCCCACAGGAGCAGGAGGUGGCCAGAGGGGCAGGCCCCUAUGCUCCUGCACAGGGUCUCCACCCCAAUGACUUUGGUGCUGUCCUUGCAGUGCCCACAGGGGACAGAGCGGACCUAGGGCAGAGCAGGGCAGGGCUGUACCGGAAAGAGUCCCUGGUCCUGCCUCUGCUUGCCCUCCAGCCCGUCACCAGCUUCUUGCUCAGGGAGCCCUUUCUGCUGAGGCAGCUUGCAGCCGAGGCCCAGAUGGGGUGGGCACACAGGCUGGUGCCAGCCAGGUUGGCUUUUGCCCUCAAGCAGUAUAAGUCUGUGGGGGCUGCUGCUCUUCUAGUGCCCGGAGAAGCCCUCCCGAGUCAGUCUGCCACGGGCCAUGUGGCUGGCAGGGGGCGGAAGCCGCAUGGGCCCAGGCCUGAGCGGGCUGCCGCGUUAUGAUGGGCAGGGGGUGGGCCUCUGCCCAUCCUCACUGCACCUCCCCCUCCCCGCCAGAGCACAGGUUGGAAUGCACGCGACUCCCUGAGCCCUGAACCUGGGGACCCACUACCCCUUCACUGGAGCCUAGUGACUGGAGGGGAGGGGGGAGGGUCCGGGGUCCCCGCUCAUCCCAGCCCUGCUUUGUACAGACCCAAGCGCACCUGGCAGACGUCACUUUAGGUUCUGGCACCAGCUCAGAACAAUUCCAGUCCACGUGCCCCACACUAGACAAGAGUCCUGGGUCACGACCACUCAGCCCAGGGGAGGGAACAAGGCAUUGUCACCCCUGGAGACCCUCUUUCCUCUCUUUCCUCCCAUGGUGUACAAUAAAGCGUCUGUUCUUACCAAA
This is an RNA transcript of Phacochoerus africanus (Common warthog), 2712 nucleotides long. RefSeq lists it as uncharacterized. The transcript has a single exon. The record is from RefSeq and is a predicted model, not a curated record. NCBI's taxonomy places the organism in Eukaryota, Metazoa, Chordata, Mammalia, Artiodactyla, Suidae.